UACGGAGGGGGCCAGCGUUGUUCGGAAUCAUUGGGCGUAAAGGGCGCGUAGGCGGCCGAUCAAGUCCGACGUGAAAUUCCCCGGCUCAACCGGGGGCCUGCGUCGGAUACUGCUCGGCUUGAGUCCCGGAGAGGGUAGUGGAAUUCCCAGUGUAGCGGUGAAAUGCGUAGAUACUGGGAGGAACACCGGUGGCGAAGGCGGCUACCUGGACGGGUACUGACGCUGAGGCGCGAAAGCUAGGGGAGCAAACAGG
RNAcentral lists this ribosomal RNA (253 nucleotides) under uncultured bacterium. RNAcentral's name for it is "partial 16S ribosomal RNA". It matches the Rfam family "Bacterial small subunit ribosomal RNA", at positions 524 to 776 of the family's 1533-position model. The record is from RNAcentral.